GCUGGCGGCGUGCCUAACACAUGCAAGUCGAACGGGGUGAUCCUUCGGGGUCACUUAGUGGCGAACGGGUGAGUAACGCGUGAGAAACCUGCCUCUCAGUGGGGGACAACAGUUGGAAACGACUGCUAAUACCGCAUAAUGUAUCCGGAGGGCAUCCUCUGGAUACCAAAGCUUUAUGUGCUGAGAGAUGGUCUCGCGUCUGAUUAGCUAGUUGGCGGGGUAACGGCCCACCAAGGCGACGAUCAGUAGCCGGUCUGAGAGGAUGAACGGCCACAUUGGGACUGAGAUACGGCCCAGACUCCUACGGGAGGCAGCAGUGGGGAAUAUUGGGCAAUGGGCGAAAGCCUGACCCAGCAACGCCGCGUGAAGGAAGAAGGCCUUCGGGUUGUAAACUUCUUUUAGCAGGGACGAAGGACGUGACGGUACCUGCAGAAAAAGCAACGGCUAACUACGUGCCAGCAGCCGCGGUAAUACGUAGGUUGCAAGCGUUGUCCGGAUUUACUGGGUGUAAAGGGCGUGUGGGCGGAGAUGCAAGUUGGGAGCGAAAUCCCGGGGCUCAACCCCGGAACUGCUUCCAAAACUGUAUCCCUUGAGUAUCGGAGAGGCAAGCGGAAUUCCUAGUGUAGCGGUGAAAUGCGUAGAUAUUAGGAGGAACACCAGUGGCGAAGGCGGCUUGCUGGACGACAACUGACGCUGAGGCGCGAAAGCGUGGGGAGCAAACAGGAUUAGAUACCCUGGUAGUCC
RNAcentral lists this ribosomal RNA (744 nucleotides) under uncultured bacterium. Its description in RNAcentral is "bacterial SSU rRNA". It matches the Rfam family "Bacterial small subunit ribosomal RNA", at positions 35 to 796 of the family's 1533-position model. The record is from RNAcentral.